ACGAAGAGAUGAAUGAUUUGACGUUGGCACUGCGCAC
Molecule: small RNA, 37 nt
Filed under: Vibrio cholerae O1 biovar El Tor str. N16961
Lineage: Bacteria; Pseudomonadati; Pseudomonadota; Gammaproteobacteria; Vibrionales; Vibrionaceae
Source: RNAcentral